Molecule: ribosomal RNA, 254 nt
Filed under: uncultured bacterium
Lineage: Bacteria
Description: partial 16S ribosomal RNA
Rfam family: Bacterial small subunit ribosomal RNA
Source: RNAcentral
GCGAGCCUGCGAAGGUAAGCGAAUCCCAAAAAUAACGUCUCAGUUCGGAUUGUAGUCUGCAACUCGACUACAUGAAGCUGGAAUCGCUAGUAAUCGCGAAUCAGAAUGUCGCGGUGAAUACGUUCCCGGGUCUUGUACACACCGCCCGUCACACCAUGGGAGUCAGUAACGCCCGAAGUCAGUGACCCAACCAAGUAAGGAGGGAGCUGCCGAAGGUGGGACCGAUAACUGGGGUGAAGUCGUAACAAGGUAAC